Schistosoma haematobium is the source of this 45-nucleotide non-coding RNA. Lineage: Eukaryota; Metazoa; Platyhelminthes; Trematoda; Strigeidida; Schistosomatidae. The record is from Rfam.
AUUCAGAUAACGAGUCCCAAACAGAACGAAACGGGCGUUCUAGAU